AGAGUUGUGUCUUAGAGUUGCCUUGCAGCACAGGUAGUAUGUUGUAAUUUAGGCCUAUUAAUUAUUGAUAGUACAUGAACUGUAAAUCAACACUUUCAACCUUUUUUUUUUAGGAGGCCCCUAUUUUUACGGAAUUAAGUAGAGAAAAUGAGGAAGAGAAAGUUACGUUUAAUUUGAAUAAAGGAGCAUGUAGUUCGGCAGGAGCAACAUCCUCCAAGUCAAGCUCUCUGGGGCCGAGUGCGCUGAAGACGAUAGGAAGCGCGGCGUCAGUGAAACGGAAAGAACCUCCCCAGGGCUCAGCUCAGUCCAAGGAAAAGAAGAAAAAGAAAUCCGCACUGGAUGAGAUCAUGGAGAUUGAAGAGGAGAA
Non-coding RNA from Microcebus murinus (gray mouse lemur), 367 nucleotides. NCBI's taxonomy places the organism in Eukaryota, Metazoa, Chordata, Mammalia, Primates, Cheirogaleidae. The record is from RefSeq and is a predicted model, not a curated record.